Molecule: ribosomal RNA, 1210 nt
Filed under: metagenome
Description: bacterial LSU rRNA
Rfam family: Bacterial large subunit ribosomal RNA
Source: RNAcentral
CGGGGACUCGGCAAAAUUACCUCGUAACUUCGGAAGAAGAGGUACCCCUUCACGGGGGUUGCAAUAGAUUGACCCUGGCGACUGUUUACCAAAAACACAGGUCUCCGCUAAUUUGUAAGAAAAAGUAUGGGGGCUGACGCCUGCCCAGUGCCGGAAGGUUAAAGGAGUUGGUUAGUCCUUGGACAAAGCUAGCGACUGAAGCCCCGGUGAACGGCGGCCGUAACAAUAACGGUCCUAAGGUAGCGAAAUUCCUUGUCGGGUAAGUUCCGACCCGCACGAAAGGCGUAACGAUCAGGGUACUGUCUCGGAGAGAGGCUCGGCGAAAUAGACAUGUCUGUGAAGAUGCGGACUACCUGCACCUGGACAGAAAGACCCUAUGAAGCUUUACUGUAUCUUGGAAUUGGGUUUGGUCUUUGCAUGCGCAGGAUAGGUGGGAGGCUUUGAAGAUGAUCUUGCGGGGUCGUUGGAGCCACUGGUGAGAUACCACCCUUGCAAUGAUAAAAUCCUAACUUUGAACCGUUAUCCGGUCAAAGAACAGUUUCAGGUGGGCAGUUUGACUGGGGCGGUCGCCUCCUAAAAGGUAACGGAGGCGUGCAAAGGUUCCCUCAGGCUGGUUGGACAUCAGUCGUAGAGUGUAAAGGCAUAAGGGAGCUUGACUGCGAGACCAACAAGUCGAGCAGAGACGAAAGUCGGCCUUAGUGAUCCGGCGCUUCCGAGUGGAAGGGGCGUCGCUCAACGGAUAAAAGUUACACUAGGAUAACAGGCUGAUCUCCCCCAAGAGUUCACAUCGACGGGGAGGUUUGGCACCUCGAUGUCGGCUCAUCGCAUCCUGGGGCGGUAGUACGUCCCAAGGGUUGGGCUGUUCGCCCAUGAAAGCGGUACGCGAGCUGGGUUCAGAACGUCGUGAGACAGUUCGGUCCAUAUCCGGUGCAGGCGUUAGAGUAUUGCGAAGACUCCUCCUUAGUACGAGAGGACCGGGGGGAAUGCACCGCUGGUGUACCAGUUAUCGUGCCAACGGUAAACGCUGGGUAGCCAAGUGCAGUUUGGAUAACUGCUGAAAGCAUCUAAGUAGGAAGCCAGCUUCAAGAUGAGUACUCUCACCGCUUCAAGCGGGUAAGAUCACGGCAAGAACAGCCGUUUGAUAGGCAUCAAGUGUAAGUGCAGUAAUGUAUUCAGCUGAGAUGUACUAAUAGAUCGAGGGCUUAUUAUC